GCGGGUGUAGUUCAAUGGCAGAACGGCAGCCUUCCAAGCUGCAUGCGAGGGUUCGAUUCCCUUCACCCGCUC
Molecule: transfer RNA, 72 nt
Filed under: Methylacidimicrobium tartarophylax
Lineage: Bacteria; Pseudomonadati; Verrucomicrobiota
Description: tRNA-Gly
Rfam family: tRNA
About the family: Transfer RNA (tRNA) molecules are approximately 80 nucleotides in length. Their secondary structure includes four short double-helical elements and three loops (D, anti-codon, and T loops).
Source: RNAcentral